Molecule: long non-coding RNA, 8051 nt
Filed under: Gossypium barbadense (sea-island cotton)
Lineage: Eukaryota; Viridiplantae; Streptophyta; Magnoliopsida; Malvales; Malvaceae
Description: long non-coding RNA (GBAR_LNC003018)
Source: RNAcentral
UAGGGACUAAAUCGAAUAAGUUGUAAAACUUGCAUUCUAGAAGUUUUUAGUAUAAAAUUGUUUUGGAAUAUUAAUGAGGUCUAAAAUAGAAAUUUGACCAAUUUUAAGUUCAUGGACAAAAUUAGGACAUGGAAAGAAUUUUUGGAAAGUUUAGUAGUAAGGGUAUUUUGGUCAUUUAGUUAUUAAAAUGAAUUAAAAACAAAAUGAAAAGCUAAUUUUUGUCCAUCUUCUUCAUUAGGCUGAAAUUUCAAGGGUUUUCUAUAGCUAGGGUUUGUUUCAAGCUUCUAAGCUUCAUAAUAAGUAAUUCCAAGCCCCAUUUUUAAUAUUCUUUACGUUUUUAGAAUCCCGGUAGUUCGAUUAAGCUUAUGUUAGCAAUAAUUCAACCUAGGGUUUAUAUUUGAAAAAAAUACCCAUAGGUGAAAUUUGUGUAUUAUGAUGUUUUAUGAUAGAAUAUGAGGUUUUAAAUUAUGUUAGACAACUUGUGCUACUCGGUUUUGAGUGAAAACGAGUAAAAGGGCUUAAUCGACAAAAAUACCUAAUAGUCACAAGUAUAUGUUAGAGAGAGAAUUUGAUGUUGCCAUAGAAGGAAAAACUGAUCAGCAUGUUAUAAAAUAUAAGAAUAAGGAAUAAAGUUUAAUUCCCGAGCCUAGAGGCAAAAGUUUAAUUAUGCAAAAAUUUAGGGGCAAAAGUGUAAUUUUUUUAAAGUUCGUAUUAAAUGCUGUUUUAAUGAAUGUAUGUAUUAAAUAAGAUUAAUUUGGUAUUAUAGAUCAAUAAAAAUGAGAUUCAAGUCGCGAUCGAGGAAAAGAAAAGAUUGUGGACUAAAUUGUAAAAUUUUUAUAUUUUGGUACCAAGGUAAGUUCAUGUGUAAAUGUAGUAAAAUAAUUGUCAUUUUAAGCAAUUUAAUGUUUAUAUGAUAUGAUGUUGAUUAUUAUCAUGAAAUAUUAUGCUUUGUGGUUAUUGUUGAAUAAUAUGUAAUUAUAUGAAUUACUUGAUGAGUAUGAACUAUCAUCGAAGUACCGAUUUCGAUAAUCCGUGGAAGGCGGCAAAGAUGUGUCAUCGAGGAAAACGUCCGUUUGAACCUUAGGAAUAUAUUAGGAUACAAGUGACAUGUCACUAGAAUGGUUGAGCAUCUGAACUCGUUGAGUUGAGUCCGAGUUCACUUAUUGAUGCGAAUGUCUGAACUCGUUGAUUUGAGUCCGAGUUCGUGAAAUGUAACUAGGCAUCCGACCUCGUUGAGUUGAGUUCGAGUUCACUUAUGGAUGCGAACGCCCGAGCUCGUUGAGUUGAGUCUGAGUUCACUUAUGGGCGGGUUACAUGGUAGCUUAAUUAUAUAUGAGGCAUUUAUGUGCAAAUUAUCCGUGUAUCCAAGUUGUAUUUCGAUGUGUUCAACGGGUGAAAUUUCUAGUGAAAUGGAAGAACACUUAAGAUGCAAGCGAUGUUUUGGUAAGUGUUGUGAAAUGGAAACUUUGGACAGGUAUGUUCUUAACCCUCGGGUUGAAAAUAGAUACAACAAUGAUAAGGUGGUAAGAUGAGGAAUGAUGUUUAGAAAUGUGAUAUAUGUUUUGGUGAUACCAUGCUAAAAUUGUUUGGUAUAUUUGUAUUGUUAUGUUACUUGUUAUUUACAUAUGAACUUACUAAGCAUUUAUGCUUACUCUCUCCUUUUUAUUUACUGUAGUUUUGAACAAGUCAGCUCGGGAAUCAGGACGAGUCGAAGGUUCGAUCACACUAUCCAAAGGACUUUCAUCUGGGUAAAUGGCUUGUAAAACUUAAGUAUGGCAUGUAUAGCAAUAUACUUAUUUUGUGUAAAUAAUUUUAUGAUAUGGCCAUGUUUGGUUGAGAAAAUGUUUGAUAUUGAUAAGUCAUUAUGAUGGCUAAUUUAGACCAUGUUUGAUAUUAUGAAGUUUAAUAGGUUAUCUAGUUCAUAAAAAUUCAUGGAAAGAUGAAACUUGCCUUAAAACAGAAUAUUGAUGCAGCAAUGACAUGAAUUUAAAAAAUCACUAAAAAUAGUAUAAAUGGAAAUAAAUGAUGAGUAAGUUAUGAAAUUGAAGCUUAAUGAGUCUAUUUUCAUGUGGAUUGAACAAAACAGGUAUAUAAAUUAUAUUUUAUGAGAUAUUUAAACUUUUGUGAAACAGGACCAGAGUGAUUUCUGGAUCCCCUGUUCUGAUUUUAAAAAUUCAUAAUAAAUUUUACAAAAAUAAUUAGAAGUUGUUUUUUAUAUUUACAGGUUCUUUAUUGAGUCUAGUUUUAAGAGAAAAAACCUCAGUCAUUUAAUUUCUGUAUAGAGAAAUAUCUGAUUCGUAAUACACAGAUGUCAGAGCAGUCGAACCUUGAAACAGGGGAAACUUUAACUAAUAAACUGUACUAAUUGGCCCAACCAAAAAUUCUAGAAAAAAAUUAGUAAAUAGAUAUAUGAGUCUAUAUUUAGGGAAAAUUUACAGAUAUAGAUUUCGAGUUUCGUAACUCAAGAUAUGAUUUUUCUUGUAACUGUGACGCGGGUAGUUAGAAAGCUGUGAAUGUAGAAAUAAACGAUUUGAAGUUCUUAAUUUGAUAAAUAUUGUUCGGUAACCCCUCAAGCUCGACUCCGGCGAUGGUCUCGGGCGUGGGGGCGUUACAUUUAAUGGUAUCAGAGCAGGUUUAGUCGGUUCUCGGACUACGUGUUGUAUGUACAGAUUUUGCUAUACAUGCCAUAUGUAUGAAUUGUGAUAGUGUGACGACUUCUGACAUUUUUAAAUGAUUUUUAUAUAGUAAAUGGAUCCCGAUCCAGCUGUGGCAGAUGAAGUAGAGAGUAAUGCGCCAGCUCCGGCUGAAGGGGCAGCGCCGACUGAAAACCCACCUCCUACUGUUGGUCAGGGAGGAGGAGAAAGGGAUCGGGAAGCCUUUCUCCAAAUGAUGAGUGCAUGGUACACUGAGUUCGUUCGUACGAACCCAAAUGUACGACCUCCCCCACCUCCCCCAAUUCCUCAACCUAUGCCUCCGAUGCCUCAAGGAGUGGAUAUGAUAAAAUUUAAUAAAACCCCCGUUGAUAGAAUUCGUAAACAAGGGGCUGAAGAAUUUAGAGCAAAUAUUGAUGAUGAUGCAGAGAAAGCAGAGUUCUAGCUUGAAAAUUCUGUCCGGGUAUUUGAUGAAUUAUCUUGUACACCUGAAGAAUGUUUGAAAUGUGCUACAUCUUUGUUGAGAGAUUCAGCCUAUAAUUGGUGGAAGACUUUGAUUUCGGUGGUACCGAACGAGAGGGUAACCUGAGAAUUCUUUCAAGAAGAGUUUCGGAAGAAAUAUAUUAGUGAAAGAUUUAUUGAUCAGAAAUGUAAAGAGUUUCUUGAGCUGAAGCAAGGUAAUAUGACAAUCUCAAAAUAUGAAAGAGAGUUUGUUCGAUUAAGUAUGCCAGGGAAUAUGUUCUUACAGAAGCCAAGAUGUGCCGACGAUUUGAAGACGGGCUCAACGAAGACAUUAAGGUAUUUGUCGGGAUCCUUGAACUGAAAGAAAUGGUAGUACUGGUUGAUCGAGCUUGUAAGGCUGAAGAACUACUAAAGGAAAAGAAAAAGGUAGAAUCUGAAACACGAAAUUGGAAGAAAAGACCAAUGAGUAAUGCACCUUCACAGCAACCCGAAAAGUCAAGAAAUAUGAAUCCUCGUUCCCAAGUUUCAGCUGGGUAAUCAUAUGGAAAUUUUAAGAAGCAGAAUGUGGGUCCUAAAUCUCAGACUACUUCUGCGGCUAGUGUGGGAAAUACGAGAUUUUUUAAACCCGAGUGCCAGCGGUGUGGUAGAAAUCAUUUUGGUCCGUGCAGAGCAAAUGAAUGUUUUCGAUGUGGUUCUCCGAAUCAUUUUAUUAGAGACUGCCCAUAGAGAGCUGAGAAAGAAAAAUUUCAGAGUGUAAAAGCUAGUGGUGUAAACUCGAGGGGAAGGUAUUCGAGAAAAGCUGGAAGUGAAACAAGCAGUAGGAAUGUAGCCAGAGAUGCAGAAGUUAGAUCUGAGGGAAGAGCUCCGGCUAGAACUUAUGCUAUUAAAGCGCGUGAAGAUGCUUCCUCACCCGAUGUGAUUACUGGUACAUUCUCUUUAUGAUAUUAAUGUUAUUGCUUUGAUUGAUCCUGGUUCUACUCAUUCAUAUGUAUGCAUGAAACUGGUGUCUAGUAUGAAUAUACCUGUUGAGAACACAGAAUUUAUGAUUAGAGUGUCGAAUCCACUAGGCAAAUGCGUGAUAGUUGAUAAAAUAAGUAAGAAAUGCCCUUUAAUGAUUCGGGGUCAUUACUUUUCGGCCGACUUGAUGAUGUUGCCGUUUGAUGAAUUUGAUGUUAUUUUGGGUAUGGAUUGGUUGACAUUGCAUGAUGCUAUAAUAAAUUACAAAGAAAAGGUUAUAGAAUUAAAGUGUGAAAGUGGUGAAAUUCUGCGGGUUGAGCCAGACAAAUCAAAGGCAUUAUCUAGUAUUUCUUCGAUGUCGGCUCAGAGAUAUUUGAGAAAGGGUUAUGAAGCUUAUUUGGCGUAUGUAAUUAAUACAAAAGAAUUUGAAAAAAAAGUUGAAUUAGUGCCGGUUGUGUGUGAAUUUGCGGACGUAUUUCUAGAAAAAUUACCGGGUUUGCCUCCAGUCAGGGAAGUAGAAUUUGGUAUAGAUUUGAUACCGGGAACAGCUCCGAUCUCGAUUGCUCCAUAUAGAAUGGCACCAACAGAGUUGAAAGAAUUAAAGUCGCAGUUGCAAGAGUUGACUGAUAAAGGCUUUGUGAGAUCGAGUUUUUCACCUUGGGGUGCUCCCGUGUUAUUUGUGAAAAAGAAGGAUGGUUCUAUGAGAUUAUGUGUUGAUUAUCGGCAGUUAAACAAGGUGACAAUAAAAAACAAGUAUCUGUUGCCGAGAAUUGAUGAUUUGUUUGAUCAGCUAAAAGGAACGACAUGGUUUUCAAAGAUUGACUUGAGAUCUGGGUAUUAUCAGCUGCGAGUAAAAGAGUCAGAUGUGCCUAAAACUGCUUUUAGAACAAGGUACGGUCAUUAUGAAUUUUUAGUUAUGCCGUUCGGGUUGACAAAUGCUCCUGCUGUGUUUAUGGACUUAAUGAAUUGCAUAUUUCGGCCAUACCUGGACAGAUUUAUUGUGGUGUUUAUAGAUGAUAUUUUAAUUUAUUCAAAAGAUGAGACAGAGCAUGCUGAGCAUUUGAGGAUAAUUUUGCAAACUUUGAGAGAUAAGCAGCUGUAUGUUAAGUUUAGUAAAAGUGGAUUUUGGCUCCGGGAAGUUGGAUUUUUGGGUCAUAUUGUUUCAGGUGAUGGUAUAUGGGUUGAUCCUAGUAAAAUUUCAGCCAUUGUUGAUUGGAAACCACCGAAAAACGUAAUUGAAGUUAGAAGUUUCUUGGGGCUAGCUGGGUAUUAUCGGCGGUUCGUAAAUGGAUUUUCUAUAAUUGCUACUCCUAUGACUAGACUACUCCGAAAGGAUGUUAAAUUUGAAUGGACGUAAGAAUGUCAACAGAGUUUCGAAGAAUUGAAAAAGUUAUUAACUGAAGCACCAGUAUUGAUACAACCCGAAUCAGGUAAAGAAUUCGUGGUGUAUAGUGAUGCUUCUCUAAAUGGUUUGGGGUGUGUACUCAUGCAAAAAGGAAAAGUGGUGGCUUAUGCUUCGAGACAGUUAAAACCUCAUGAGAAGAAUUAUCCUACUCACGAUUUGGAAUUGGCUGCGGUGGUAUUUGCUUUGAAGAUUUGGCGACAUUAUUUGUAUGGUGAAAAGUGCCGAGUAUAUACCGAUCACAAAAGUCUUAAAUACUUGAUGUCACAAAAAGACUUGAAUUUGAAACAACGAAGAUGGUUAGAGUUAUUGAAAGAUUAUGAGCUUGUUAUCGAUUAUCAUCCGGGAAAAGCGAAUGUGGUUGCCGAUGCUUUAAGCAGAAAGUUGUUGUUUGCUUUGAGAGUUAUGAACACUCAAUUGAAAAUUUCAAAUGACGGUUCGAUUCUAGCAGAGUUAAGAGCAAGACCGAUGUUUUUACAAGAGAUUUCUGAAGCUGAAAAAAAUGAUCAAGAUUUGCUAGCCAAAAGAAAACAGUGUGAAGCUGAUACGGGAUCAAAUUUCAGAAUCGGUUCUAAUGGUUGUUUGAUGUUUAAAAAUCAGAUUUGUGUAUCGAAAAAUGAUGAGUUGAUUCAAAAGAUUUUGCAUAAAGCACAUAAUAGUUGUUUAGCGGUUCAUCCGGGCAGUACGAAGAUGUAUAAUGACUUGAAGAAAAUGUACUGGUGGAGUGGAAUGAAAAGAGAUAUUUCCGAGUUUGUAUCAAAGUGCUUAGUUUGUCAACAAGUGAAAGCUGAACACCAAGUACCUUCGGGAUUACUUCAGCCUAUUAUGGUUCCUGAAUGGAAAUGAGAUCGGAUUACUAUGGAUUUUAUAUCAGGGUUGCCGUUAACUCCAGGGAAGAAAAAUGCAUCAGGACAAUAGUUGACAGACUGACUAAAUCGGCUCAUUUUAUUCCGGUACGUACAGAUUAUUCUCUUAAUAAGUUAGCUGAAUUGUAUAUCCGAGAGAUUGUUAGACUUCAUGGGAUACCUCUGUCAAUCAUUUCGGAUAGAGAUCCGAGGUUUACCUCACGGUUUUGGAAAAAGUUGCAAGAAGCAUUAGGUACAAAGUUAAAUUUCAGCACUGCCUUUCAUCCACAAACUGAUGGACAAUCAAAGAGAGUAAUUCAGAUUCUUGAAAACAUGCUCAGAUGUUGCGUAUUGGAAUUUCAAAAUAGUUGGGAAAGGUACUUACCAUUGGUAGAAUUUGCUUAUAAUAAUAGUUAUCAGGCAAGUUUGAAGAUGGCACCUUAUGAAGCAUUAUAUGGUCGUAAAUGUCGGACGCCAUUGUAUUGGACUGAACUCAAGGAAAGUCAAAUUUAUGGAGUUGAUUUAAUAAAAGAAACCGAAGAAAAGGUGAAAGUGAUUCGAGAUUGUUUGAAAGCUGCUUCAGAUAGACAGAAAUCUUAUGCGGAUUUGAAACGAAAAGAAAUGGAGUUUCAAGUUGGUGAUAAGGUAUUUUUGAAAGUGUCUCCAUGGAAGAAAGUCCUUAGAUUUGGACGAAAGGGCAAGUUAAGUCCGCGUUUUAUUGGACCGUAUGAAAUAAUUGAAAAAGUUGGACCGGUAGCAUAUCAGCUAGCGUUACCACCUGAAUUAGAGAAGAUUCAUGAUGUGUUUCAUGUAUUUAUGUUACGUCGGUAUCGUUCGGAUCCUUCACAUAUAAUUUCACCGACAGAAGUUAAACUACGACCGGAUAUGACUUAUGAAGAAGAACCGAUUAAGAUUUUAGCUCGAGAAGUCAAACAACUAAGAAAUAAAAGUGUUGCACUUGUGAAAGUGUUGUGGCAAAAGCAUGGGGUAGAAGAGACUACAUGGGAACCUAAAGAAACUAUGAGAAACCAAUAUCCACACCUGUUUACCGGUAAGAUUUUCGAGGACGAAAAUCCUUAAAAGGGGGGAGAGUUGUAAUAUCCUGAAUUAGGGCUUAAUCGGAAUAGUGGUUUGGUGACCACAAAUCCGAGAUAGAAAUAAUAAUUUUAUAAUUAUUUUGAUGAUUAUGAUAUGAUUGCAUGAUUGUGUGAAAAUUUCGUGAUGAAAUUCUAUGCCUAAAGUGCUUAAAUUGAAAGUAGGGACUAAAUCGAAUAAGUUGCAAAACUUGCAUUCUAGAAGUUUUUAGUAUGAAAUUGUUUUGGAAUAUUAAUGAGGAGGUCUUAAAUAGAAAUUUGACCAAUUUUAAGUUCAUGGACAAAAUUAUGGACAUGGAAGGAAUUUUGGAAAGUUUAGUAGUAAGGGUAUUUUGGUCAUUUAGUUAUUAAAAUGAAUUAAAAACAAAAUUAAAAGCCAAUUUUUGUCCAUCUUCUUCAUUAGGCCGAAAUUUCAAGGGUUCUCCAUAGCUAGGGUUUGUUUCAAGCUUCCAAGCUCCAUAGUAAGUGAUUCUAAGCCUCGUUUUUAAUGUUCUUUACGUUUUUAGAAUCCCGGUAGCUCGAUUAAGCUUAUGUUAGCAAUAAUUCAACCUAGGGUUUAUAUUUGGAAAAAUACCCAUAGGUGAAAUUUGUGUAUUAUGAUGUUUUAUGAUAGAAUAUGAGGUUUUAAAUUAUGUUAGAC